CCUACGGGCGGCAGCAGUGGGGAAUAUUGGACAAUGGGCGAAAGCCUGAUCCAGCCAUGCCGCGUGUGUGAAGAAGGCCUUCGGGUUGUAAAGCACUUUCAGUGGGGAAGAAAGCCUUGGGGCUAAUACCCUCGAGGAAGGACAUCACCCACAGAAGAAGCACCGGCUAACUCCGUGCCAGCAGCCGCGGUAAUACGGAGGGUGCGAGCGUUAAUCGGAAUUACUGGGCGUAAAGCGCGCGUAGGCGGUCUGAUAAGCCGGUUGUGAAAGCCCCGGGCUCAACCUGGGAACGGCAUCCGGAACUGUCAGGCUAGAGUGCAGGAGAGGAAGGUAGAAUUCCCGGUGUAGCGGUGAAAUGCGUAGAGAUCGGGAGGAAUACCAGUGGCGAAGGCGGCCUUCUGGACUGACACUGACGCUGAGGUGCGAAAGCGUGGGUAGCAAACAGGAUUAGAUACCCUGGUAGUC
This 465-nucleotide ribosomal RNA is filed under the name Vreelandella stevensii. Its description in RNAcentral is "partial 16S ribosomal RNA". It matches the Rfam family "Bacterial small subunit ribosomal RNA", at positions 338 to 795 of the family's 1533-position model. Lineage: Bacteria; Pseudomonadati; Pseudomonadota; Gammaproteobacteria; Oceanospirillales; Halomonadaceae. The record is from RNAcentral.